GGUUACUGCUAUCGGCGUUCGCCUAAGCCAUGCGAGUCAUAUGUUCGUAAGAACAUGGCGUACUGCUCAGUAACACGUGGAUAACCUGCCCUUGGGUCCGGCAUAACCCCGGGAAACUGGGGAUAAUUCCGGAUAACGCACAUAUGCUGGAAUGCUUUUUGCGUAAAAUGGAUUCGUCUGCCCAAGGAUGGGUCUGCGGCCUAUCAGGUAGUAGUGGGUGUAAUGUACCUACUAGCCUACGACGGGUACGGGUUGUGAGAGCAAGAGCCCGGAGAUGGAUUCUGAGACAUGAAUCCAGGCCCUACGGGGCGCAGCAGGCGCGAAAACUUUACAAUGCGGGAAACCGUGAUAAGGGGACACCGAGUGCCAGCAUCCUAUGCUGGCUGUCCGGGUGUGUAAAAUACACCUGUUAGCAAGGGCCGGGCAAGACCGGUGCCAGCCGCCGCGGUAACACCGGCGGCCCGAGUGGUGAUCGUGAUUAUUGGGUCUAAAGGGUCCGUAGCCGGUUUGGUCAGUCCUCCGGGAAAUCUGACAGCUCAACUGUUAGGCUAUCGGAGGAUACUGCCAGACUUGGAACCGGGAGAGGUAAGAGGUACUACAGGGGUAGGAGUGAAAUCUUGUAAUCCCUGUGGGACCACCUGUGGCGAAGGCGUCUUACCAGAACGGGUUCGACGGUGAGGGACGAAAGCUGGGGGCACGAACCGGAUUAGAUACCCGGGUAGUCCCAGCCGUAAACGAUGCUCGCUAGGUGUCAGGCAUGGCGCGACCGUGUCUGGUGCCGCAGGGAAGCCGUGAAGCGAGCCACCUGGGAAGUACGGCCGCAAGGCUGAAACUUAA
RNAcentral lists this ribosomal RNA (837 nucleotides) under uncultured archaeon. RNAcentral's name for it is "bacterial SSU rRNA". It matches the Rfam family "Archaeal small subunit ribosomal RNA", at positions 21 to 859 of the family's 1478-position model. The record is from RNAcentral.